This 741-nucleotide long non-coding RNA is filed under the name Homo sapiens (human). Its description in RNAcentral is "HSALNT0078266". Lineage: Eukaryota; Metazoa; Chordata; Mammalia; Primates; Hominidae. The record is from RNAcentral.
CCGGAACCCGCGCCGGCCUGCAAGCGCCGCGCGCCUCUCCCUCCACACCUCCCCGCGAGCAGAGGGAGCCGGCUCCGACCUCGACCAGCCCCAGAGAGGAGCCCCCACAGUGCAGCGGCAGGCUGAAGGGCUCCUCAAGCGCGGCCAGAGCGGACGCCGAGGCCGAGGAGGCACCGAGAGCGAGGGCUGCUGGCACGUUGUCACCUCUCAAAGGAGCAUGACCAGCAGACUAACGCAGCAAGCAGAUGAUGCUCCUGAUGAAAAGGGCAGACCCAGUUGAGCCUGGGCUACGCUGACACAGACUUUGUUGCUCUUCAUUUGGCAAAGGCCCCGCUGUGUAAUUACGUCUGGAAUUGGUGGGUUCUUGGUCUCACCGACUUCAAGAAUGAAGCCGUGGAUCCUCGUGGUGAGUGUUACAGCUCUUAAGGUGACGCACCUGGAGUUUGUUCCUUCUGAUGUUCAGAUGUGUUUGGAGUUUCUUCCUUCUGGUGGGUUCGUGGUCUCGUUGGCUCAGGAGUGAAGUUGCAGACCUUGGCGGUGAGUGUUAGAGCUCUUAAGGUAGUGCAUCUGGAGUUGUUCAUUCCUCCCGGUGGGCUUGUGGGCUCUCUAGCUUCAGGAGUGAAGCUGCAGAUCUUCGCAGUGAGUGUUACAGCUCAUGAAAGCAGUGUGGAGUCAAAGAGUGAGCAGUAGCAAGAUUUAUUGCAAAGAGCGAAAGAACAAAGCUUCCACAGGGUGGAAGGG